GAUGAACGCUGGCGGCGUGCCUAAUACAUGCAAGUCGAGCGAACGGACGAGAAGCUUGCUUCUCUGAUGUUAGCGGCGGACGGGUGAGUAACACGUGGAUAACCUACCUAUAAGACUGGGAUAACUUCGGGAAACCGGAGCUAAUACCGGAUGAUAUUUUGAACCGCAUGGUUCAAAAGUGAAAGACGGUCUUGCUGUCACUUAUAGAUGGAUCCGCGCUGCAUUAGCUAGUUGGUAAGGUAACGGCUUACCAAGGCAACGAUGCAUAGCCGACCUGAGAGGGUGAUCGGCCACACUGGAACUGAGACACGGUCCAGACUCCUACGGGAGGCAGCAGUAGGGAAUCUUCCGCAAUGGGCGAAAGCCUGACGGAGCAACGCCGCGCGAGUGAUGAAGGUCUUCGGAUCGUAAAACUCUGUUAUUAGGGAAGAACAUAUGUGUAAGUAACUGUGCACAUCUUGACGGUACCUAAUCAGAAAGCCACGGAUAACUACGUG
RNAcentral lists this ribosomal RNA (497 nucleotides) under uncultured bacterium. Its description in RNAcentral is "partial 16S ribosomal RNA". It matches the Rfam family "Bacterial small subunit ribosomal RNA", at positions 28 to 507 of the family's 1533-position model. The record is from RNAcentral.